CAGCUCCAAUAGCGUAUAUUAAAGUUGUUGCAGUUAAAAAGCUCGUAGUUGGAUCUAGGGACGCGCAUUUCAAGCGCCCGUGCCAUCGGGUCAAACCGGUGGCUGCGUUGGCGUUGCGGGCUCGGUCCGUCGGUGCCCCACAAAGGGCUAUCGGCGUGUCAACCGGCCCGCCCGUCCCCUCCUUCUGGAUUCCCGUUCCUGCUAUUGAGUUAGUGGGGACGUCACAGGGGGUUGCAAACGGCGGCGGUGGGUCCCUGGGGCCCAGAUCGUUUACCGUGAAAAAAUUAGAGUGUUCAAAGCAGGCAGAUCCAAUUUUCUGCCACCGAAUACAUUAGCAUGGGAUAAUGGAAUAGGACCCUGUCCUCCUAUUUUCAGUUGGUUUUGGCAGCGCGAGGACUAGGGUAAUGAUUAAUAGGGAUAGUUGGGGGCAUUAAUAUUUAAUUGUCAGAGGUGAAAUUCUUGGAUUUAUGAAAGAUUAACUU
This 482-nucleotide ribosomal RNA is filed under the name Acanthamoeba sp. Its description in RNAcentral is "SSU rRNA". It matches the Rfam family "Eukaryotic small subunit ribosomal RNA", at positions 586 to 942 of the family's 1831-position model. The record is from RNAcentral. Lineage: Eukaryota; Discosea; Longamoebia; Acanthamoebidae.